GCAAUUAAAUAGCAAGAAAAAUAGUAAAAUAGUCAAAGCUACAGAAGUAAAGCUAAAAUUGAAUCACAAGCUCAAGACAUACAAAUUAUUAAAUAUAAUUCAACAAUUGAAUUUGACAAUCAAAAUUAAGGCUCAGAUUAUUAGUUAAUAAAAGCUUUGCUAAAAGAAGAGCACAAGCAUUUGAACUCAACAAAUAGCCCUAUAGAUUCCAAAUUAGAAAAAUUACUCCUCUGUGACUCACUUAUUUCUCCAUUAGCAGCAAGAAUAAAACAAAACAUUUUUGAAUAACCUAACAGCUAAAAAGAAGCAAGAAAUACCUAUUACUCAAUUGAUGGUAGCAAGAUUUGUUUGAAUUUGUUGCUCCUACAAUAACAACAAAAAUUCAUUCAGAUACUCACCAAAUAAAUGAAAAAGCAUAAAUCAAAUAUUCUUUUUGAUGAAGAGAAGAAAAAUUAAAAGAAAUUAGUUUUUAGGUUAACUAUUUUUCUUUGCAGCAAGGGUCAAAGAUGUAGAAGUUAAAAAAUUUUAGACACAAAGACUAUCUCUCAGCAGUGAAGAAAAAUACUUUCCUAGAAUUUCUAGUUUUCAGAAAUAUAGGAAAAAGUCUUAAGAGUUUGAUAUUAUCAAGCCACCAAAAGAGAAACAAAAAACAAUCUUGUUACGCUACACUCAGUUUUCAUAAAAUAGGAUAAAAUUGGAAAAGACCUUUAAGUUAACAUAAGUUUUGAAACUUACCAGUGAAUUCAAUGCAGAGAAGAAGAAGUAUCUGGACAGCAAGUUGAGUGACAAUGUUGAACCGCUUAGAAUACUCUAAAAUCCAUCAAAUAGCCAACGUUUGAUUCAAAAUAAAGCUAAUUUAUUAGUUUUAGAUAUCAAUAGAAACACAAAUCAAGCAAUUCUUUUGUUUAAAGAACCUUCUCAAGAGAUCCAAAAAACACCAUCUAGAUUUAUUGUUGCAUUUGCAAUCAACCUAAAAACUAAUUAUCGCAAGUUUCAGACAGACAUUUAAUCAAACAUUUGAUAGCCAUGCCUAUGAGAUUUCACAUAUUCACUUGAAGGCAGUGUCAUACUAAAACCAUGUUUUGAGUUAAUGAAGCAAAUAUAACAUAAGCAAUCAUUAUAAGGGAUCAUAAAAUACCUGAGAUAAGUGAUAAGAAAGCAUCAAAACAGGAAGUAAUAAUACUUGAAGUAGAACUGAAUUUGUACGAGAAUUUCAAAAGAACAAACUAAGCUACCGUUGGACUAAUAAAUGAAAAAAAAACAAUGAACUUUGACAAUUAAAAGUAAAGCUCCAAUUUGUUUGUCAAUGCCAGGCGAAGAAGAAGAGCACAACCAUGGCUGCAAACUCAGUUGCAGUUCUGGAAUAAUAUAUACUCCAAAAUGCCAUCUGAGUUGCCUCGCCAAGAUACAGCUUAAAUCCAGUUAGUAUCAAGCCUGAAACACAACUCAUGGCAACAGCCGAAAAUGAGAACAAAAUAAAUUCACCUAUUUCUGAUCUUCAUCUGUUGUGGAAAUCCAACAAAAAAAUCAACACUAUAUUCCAACAAAAUUUAGAUUCAUUAAACCGUGGUAAGGAAAUAAAAAGAAGAAAAAACAAAUGUUCAAACCAAAAAGUUAAUAACAAAAAAUUGUACUUCCAUAUGAAAUUGCACAUAGCGAAUCAAGAGGGAAAAAAGUCAAAACCAGAGUGAACGAAGGUUAGAAUGAGUGAUUAGAGAAAGAGACGGGCAAAUACAGGUAAAAGGCAAGGGAAAAAAUUUUCCUAGAAAUCAGGAUAGAUUAGGUGCGAUUAAACGGUCAAGAUGAGAUGAAAGUACGCCUAUCAA
This 1826-nucleotide long non-coding RNA is filed under the name Coffea arabica (coffee). RNAcentral's name for it is "long non-coding RNA (CARA_LNC005572)". The record is from RNAcentral. Lineage: Eukaryota; Viridiplantae; Streptophyta; Magnoliopsida; Gentianales; Rubiaceae.